GUCUGUGUAGCUUAGUUGGUAUAGUGUAAGACUCUUAAUCUUGUGGUCAUGGGUUCAAGCCCCACGGUAGGCA
Zea mays is the source of this 73-nucleotide non-coding RNA. Lineage: Eukaryota; Viridiplantae; Streptophyta; Magnoliopsida; Poales; Poaceae. The record is from Rfam.